CCUACGGGUGGCUGCAGUGGGGAAUUUUCCACAAUGGGCGAAAGCCUGAUGGAGCAACGCCGCGUGUGUGAUGAAGGUCUUCGGAUCGUAAAGCACUUUCGACUGGGACGAAAAACCUUUGGCUAACAUCCAGGGGCCUGACGGUACCAGGAGAAGAAGCACCGGCUAACUCUGUGCCAGCAGCCGCGGUAAUACAGAGGGUGCAAGCGUUGUUCGGAAUUAUUGGGCGUAAAGCGCGUGUAGGCGGCUUGGCAAGUCAGAUGUGAAAGCCCUCG
Molecule: ribosomal RNA, 275 nt
Filed under: uncultured bacterium
Lineage: Bacteria
Description: partial 16S ribosomal RNA
Rfam family: Bacterial small subunit ribosomal RNA
Source: RNAcentral